AACGAACGCUGGCGGCAGGCCUAACACAUGCAAGUCGAACGCCCUGGCAACAGGGAGUGGCAGACGGGUGAGUAACGCGUGGGAACGUGCCCUUCGGUUCGGAAUAACUCAGGGAAACUUGAGCUAAUACCGGAUACGUGCGAGAGCAGAAAGAUUUAUCGCCGAAGGAUCGGCCCGCGUCCGAUUAGCUAGUUGGUGAGGUAACGGCUCACCAAGGCGACGAUCGGUAGCUGGUCUGAGAGGAUGAUCAGCCACACUGGGACUGAGACACGGCCCAGACUCCUACGGGAGGCAGCAGUGGGGAAUAUUGGACAAUGGGCGCAAGCCUGAUCCAGCCAUGCCGCGUGAGUGAUGAAGGCCCUAGGGUUGUAAACUACUUUUAUUUUCCCAUGAAGGGAAUUUGAAUAAGGAACUACUAACUACGUGCCAGCCGCCGCGGUAA
Molecule: ribosomal RNA, 442 nt
Filed under: uncultured bacterium
Lineage: Bacteria
Description: partial 16S ribosomal RNA
Rfam family: Bacterial small subunit ribosomal RNA
Source: RNAcentral